Molecule: transfer RNA, 68 nt
Filed under: Iostephane heterophylla
Lineage: Eukaryota; Viridiplantae; Streptophyta; Magnoliopsida; Asterales; Asteraceae
Description: tRNA-Thr
Source: RNAcentral
UUUUAACUCAGUGGUAGAGUAAUCCCAUGGUAACACGUAAGCCCUCGGUUCAAACCCAACAAGGGGCU